UACAGAGGUCUCAAGCGUUGUUCGGAUUCAUUGGGCGUAAAGGGUGCGUAGGCGGCGCGGUAAGUCGGGUGUGAAAUCUCGGAGCUUAACUCCGAAACUGCAUUCGAUACUGCCGUGCUUGAGGACUGGAGAGGAGACUGGAAUUUACGGUGUAGCGGUGAAAUGCGCAGAUAUCGGGAGGAACACCUAUGGCGAAGGCAGCUCGCUGGGACGUUACUGACGCUGAGACGCGAAAGCGUGGGUAGCAAACAGG
This 253-nucleotide ribosomal RNA is filed under the name uncultured bacterium. RNAcentral's name for it is "partial 16S ribosomal RNA". It matches the Rfam family "Bacterial small subunit ribosomal RNA", at positions 524 to 776 of the family's 1533-position model. The record is from RNAcentral.